RNAcentral lists this transfer RNA (72 nucleotides) under Fasciola hepatica (liver fluke). RNAcentral describes it as "tRNA-Thr". Lineage: Eukaryota; Metazoa; Platyhelminthes; Trematoda; Plagiorchiida; Fasciolidae. The record is from RNAcentral.
GACCGCGAUAGCUCAGUUGGUAGAGCAUCUACUCGGUAUGCGGAGAGUUGCCGGUUCGUUUCCGGAUGGUCG